RNAcentral lists this ribosomal RNA (253 nucleotides) under uncultured bacterium. RNAcentral's name for it is "partial 16S ribosomal RNA". It matches the Rfam family "Bacterial small subunit ribosomal RNA", at positions 524 to 776 of the family's 1533-position model. The record is from RNAcentral.
AACGUAGGUACCGAGCGUUAUCCGGAUUUACUGGGCGUAAAGCGCGUUCAGGCGGUUUGGCAAGUCGGGCAUGAAAUCUCUCGGCUCAACCGGGAGAGGUUGUCCGAUACUGUCAGACUUGAGGGCAGUAGAGGGUGGUGGAAUUCCGGGUGUAGUGGUGAAAUGCGUAGAGAUCCGGAGGAACACCAGUGGCGAAAGCGGCCACCUGGACUGCACCUGACGCUCAAACGCGAAAGCUAGGGGAGCGAACGGG